UGAGGAACAUGACCUUCGGCGGGGGGAUAGCCGGCCCAACGGCCGGGUAAUACCGCGUACGACCACUUUGGGACAUCCCUCGGUGGUGAAAGCAGCAAUGCGCCGAUGGAGUGCCUCGCGGCCUAUCAGCUAGUUGGUGAGGUAACGGCUCACCAAGGCGACGACGGGUAGCUGGUCUGAGAGGAUGGCCAGCCACAUUGGGACUGAGACACGGCUCAGACUCCCGUAGGGAGG
RNAcentral lists this ribosomal RNA (234 nucleotides) under uncultured bacterium. RNAcentral's name for it is "partial 16S ribosomal RNA". It matches the Rfam family "Bacterial small subunit ribosomal RNA", at positions 118 to 348 of the family's 1533-position model. The record is from RNAcentral.